CCCUUAGAUGUCCUGGGCCGCACGCGCGCUACACUGAGUGUCUGAGAUACGAGUCUGCCUGGUCCGGCAAGGUCUAGGUAAUCGCUAAAAGACACAUCAUGCUUGGGAUAGAUUAUUGCAAAUAUUAAUCUUGAACGAGGAAUUCCUAGUAAGCGCAAGUCAACAGCUUGCGUUGAUUACGUCCCUGCCCUUUGUACACACCGCCCGUCGCUACUACUGAUUGGAUGUUUAAGCGAGGUCCUCGAACUGCUAGCGACUUAGCUUCGGUGAGGUCGCAGUGUGGGAAGUGAACCUAGCUUUGGUGUCUAGAGGAAGUAAAAGUCGUAACA
RNAcentral lists this ribosomal RNA (329 nucleotides) under uncultured eukaryote. Its description in RNAcentral is "partial 18S ribosomal RNA". It matches the Rfam family "Eukaryotic small subunit ribosomal RNA", at positions 1470 to 1796 of the family's 1831-position model. The record is from RNAcentral.